GACGAACGCUGGCGGCGCGCUUAACACAUGCAAGUCGAACGGAAAGGCCUGCUUUCCCUUGUGGAUUGCGGGUACUCGAGUGGCGAACGGGUGAGUAACACGUGAGUGAUCUUCUCCCAACUUUGGUAUAAGCCGGGGAAACUGGGUCUAAUUCCCGCUAGGACUGCAGUGUGGUGCCUGUGGUUGCAAACGAUUUUCUAGUGGUCGGGGAUGAGCUCGCGGCCUAUCAGGUUGUUGGUGGGGUAAUGGCUUACCGGGGCGGCGACGGGAAGCCGGCCUGGGAUAGUGGGCGGGAGCAGGGGGACGGAGAUACGGCGCAGACGACACCGCGAGGCCGCAGUGGGGAAUAAUGCGCGAUGGACGGAAGACUAAGGGAGCGACGCCGAGUGAGGGAUGACGGGCGCGGGGUUGUAGCCUCCUGUCGGUAGCGCGGUAGCCACCGGGUUGGAAGGGGGGUGACGGUAAUGGUAGAAGAAGCACCGGCUAACUACGUG
This 494-nucleotide ribosomal RNA is filed under the name uncultured bacterium. Its description in RNAcentral is "partial 16S ribosomal RNA". It matches the Rfam family "Bacterial small subunit ribosomal RNA", at positions 28 to 507 of the family's 1533-position model. The record is from RNAcentral.